This 838-nucleotide ribosomal RNA is filed under the name Zopfiella erostrata. RNAcentral's name for it is "eukaryotic LSU rRNA". It matches the Rfam family "Eukaryotic large subunit ribosomal RNA", at positions 66 to 938 of the family's 3401-position model. Lineage: Eukaryota; Fungi; Ascomycota; Sordariomycetes; Sordariales; Chaetomiaceae. The record is from RNAcentral.
CAACAGGGAUUGCCCUAGUAACGGCGAGUGAAGCGGCAACAGCUCAAAUUUGAAAUCUGGCUCCGGCCCGAGUUGUAAUUUGCAGAGGAAGCUUCUGGUGAUGCACUGUCUAAGUCCCCUGGAACGGGGCGCCACAGUGGGUGAGAGCCCCAUUUGACAGAGGCAGAUCCUGUGUGAAGCUCCUUCGACGAGUCGAGUAGUUUGGGAAUGCUGCUCAAAAUGGGAGGUAAAUUCCUUCUAAAGCUAAAUAUUGGCCAGAGACCGAUAGCGCACAAGUAGAGUGAUCGAAAGAUGAAAAGCACUUUGAAAAGAGGGUUAAACAGCACGUGAAAUUGUUGAAAGGGAAGCGCUUGUGACCAGACUUGCGCUGGGCUGAUCAUCCGGUGUUCUCACCGGUGCACUCGGCCCAGCUCAGGCCAGCAUCGGUUUUGGUGGGGGGAUAAAGGCGCUGGGAACGUAGCUCCUUCGGGAGUGUUAUAGCCCAGCGUGCAAUGCCCCCGCUGGGACCGAGGUUCGCGCAUCUGCAAGGAUGCUGGCGUAAUGGUCAUCAGCGACCCGUCUUGAAACACGGACCAAGGAGUCAAGGUUUUGCGCGAGUGUUUGGGUGUCAAACCCGCACGCGUAAUGAAAGUGAACGUAGGUGAGAGCUUCGGCGCAUCAUCGACCGAUCCUGAUGUAUUCGGAUGGAUUUGAGUAGGAGCGUUAAGCCUUGGACCCGAAAGAUGGUGAACUAUGCUUGGAUAGGGUGAAGCCAGAGGAAACUCUGGUGGAGGCUCGCAGCGGUUCUGACGUGCAAAUCGAUCGUCAAAUCUGAGCAUGGGGGCGAAAGACUAAUCGA